This 482-nucleotide ribosomal RNA is filed under the name uncultured bacterium. RNAcentral describes it as "bacterial SSU rRNA". It matches the Rfam family "Bacterial small subunit ribosomal RNA", at positions 355 to 849 of the family's 1533-position model. The record is from RNAcentral.
UGGGGAAUCUUGGACAAUGGGGGCAACCCUGAUCCAGCCAUGCCGCGUGAGUGAUGAAGGCCUUAGGGUCGUAAAGCUCUUUCGCCUGUGAAGAUAAUGACGGUAGCAGGUAAAGAAACCCCGGCUAACUCCGUGCCAGCAGCCGCGGUAAUACGGAGGGGGUUAGCGUUGUUCGGAAUUACUGGGCGUAAAGCGCACGUAGGCGGACCAGAAAGUUGGGGGUGAAAUCCCGGGGGCUCAACCCCGGAACUGCCUCCAAAACUAUUGGUCUAGAGUUCGAGAGAGGUGAGUGGGAAUUCCAAGUGUAGAGGUGAAAUUCGUAGAUAUUUGGAGGAACACCAGUGGCGAAGGCGGCUCACUGGCUCGAUACUGACGCUGAGGUGCGAAAGUGUGGGGAGCAAAACAGGAUUAGAUACCCCUGGUAGUCCACACCGUAAAACGAUGAAUGCCAGUCGUCGGGGUAGCAUGCUAUUCGGUGACAC